UACGAAGGGGGCUAGCGUUGCUCGGAAUUACUGGGCGUAAAGGGCGCGUAGGCGGAUAUCUAAGUUGGGGGUGAAAGCCCGGGGCUCAACCUCGGAACUGCCUUCAAUACUGGAUAUCUUGAGUUCGGGAGAGGUGAGUGGAAUGCCGAGUGUAGAGGUGAAAUUCGUAGAUAUUCGGCGGAACACCAGUGGCGAAGGCAGCUCUCUGGGUCCCUACCGACGCUGGAGUGCGAAAGCAUGGGGAGCGAACGGG
Molecule: ribosomal RNA, 253 nt
Filed under: uncultured bacterium
Lineage: Bacteria
Description: partial 16S ribosomal RNA
Rfam family: Bacterial small subunit ribosomal RNA
Source: RNAcentral